AGCUGUAAUCAUUCCGAGCUGGUCACACGAUAGAUGGCAGCACAAGAGAGCUGCUUUGAAAUCUUACAUCAAGAGGGCUGGUACCCAUUGCAAUGAGGAGGAGGCAUAUCAAGAGGAGAUUAGAUGGAUAACAGACGUAGCAGCCACACAUGAUUAUCGACGCAGCUUGGUUUCUAAAAUAGUGAGGGAGUCUGAGUUUAGAACGCACACUAAUAUGACCAUGAAUGAUGAAAUUAAUAGCAGACUGAGCAUGGACCAGCCGGAGCAGAGCACGUCCUAUGCAGUAGUCCCGGAAACUAUAAGAGACUUCCCUGUAGUAAAAAACAUCCUGAGAAAGAAACAAACCAAAUGCACCUACAAGAGACCCCCCACCAUCUUUAAAUGUUACAGAAUGAAAAGGAUAGAAGAGGUGAAUGUCAAAAAA
This 424-nucleotide long non-coding RNA is filed under the name Androctonus crassicauda. The record is from RNAcentral. Lineage: Eukaryota; Metazoa; Arthropoda; Arachnida; Scorpiones; Buthidae.